CCAUCUUCAUCUGCACACUGGCCCUCUGGACUCAAGAAUCCAGAAGUUUCUUCUGCUCUGCAACUCCAGUGACUGUGACUCAGACUCCUGGAAUGAAAGCAGCUCUUCCAGGAGACACAGUCAGCAUCAGAUGCAGUAUUGACCCAGGGAAUUUUCAUCUUCACUGGUAUCAUCAGAGACCUGGAGAAACUCCUAAACUCCUGAUCUACUACACAAGCAACAGAGCAUCAGGUAUUCCAGAUCGUUUCAGUGGUAGCGGAUCAGGUAAUGACUGCACUCUGACCAUCAAUGGAGUCCAGACUGAAGAUGCAGGAGAUUACUACUGUCAGAGUGCCCAUAAUUUCGGGGGUAGCUGGGUGUUCACUUUUGGUGGAGGGACGAAACUGUCAGUUGGACGUGACGCCCCGCCCACCCUCACGGUCCUGCCCCCCUCCAGUGUAGAGCUGCAGCAGGAGAAGGUCACACUCGUGUGUCUGGCCAACAAGGGCUUCCCCUCAGACUGGAAGCUGAGCUGGAGGGUGGCUGAUAGCAGCUGGAGCUCGGGGGUGAGCCAGAGCUCCGGGCUUCUGCAGAAGGACGGUCUCUACAGCUGGAGCAGCACCCUGACCCUCCAGAAGGAGGAGUGGCUGAAGAAGACAGUGACCUGUGAGGCCACCAAGGACUCCCAGUCUCCUGUCACACAGACACUGAGUAGAGAGCAGUGUGCUGAGGAGUGAACUCCCACAAUCCUCUGCUUUACUCUGCACACUCUCUUCUGCUUCACUGGGACUUUACAACUUCACUCAUAAAAUGUUCUUCUGCUUUGUCUUUUCAAUAAAAUCCUUAAAAUCUAA
Molecule: non-coding RNA, 833 nt
Organism: Electrophorus electricus (electric eel)
Lineage: Eukaryota; Metazoa; Chordata; Actinopteri; Gymnotiformes; Gymnotidae
Source: the annotation of a RefSeq genome assembly